GAGUAGAAUGCCUCCCCACUCAGAUUUAAAAAAAAUGAACGAAAAAACUUAAGAAUGUUUUUUCUUUUGUUAGCGAGCAGCAUCUUCAACCCAACUGCAUUGCAACUAAUGCUAAAAAAAAUAAUGAAUCCUAUUACUGAACAAAUACUGAAUCCUGUCCUGCUGAUUCUUUUAAUUACCGAUUGUUAUGCUACGGAUAAUGAUUAUAGCAUUUAAGUUCUCAAGUAUAAAUGCACUCUUUAUCCAUCCUUAAACCUGAUAAAAAUCCAACUAGUCGGUUUUCAUGACCGUGUAGGAACCCUGCUCACAGUAUGUCACAUGACGAUCUUGCUUUAUCAGUUCACGCACAGCAUCGAUCUUUUCUGGCACAACAACGGAUUUUGGACGACCUGCACGGGAUUCAUCCUGGAUCGAACAUC
Molecule: long non-coding RNA, 419 nt
Organism: Parasteatoda tepidariorum (common house spider)
Lineage: Eukaryota; Metazoa; Arthropoda; Arachnida; Araneae; Theridiidae
Source: RefSeq, a predicted model, not a curated record